Molecule: ribosomal RNA, 259 nt
Filed under: Salmonella enterica subsp. enterica serovar Agona
Lineage: Bacteria; Pseudomonadati; Pseudomonadota; Gammaproteobacteria; Enterobacterales; Enterobacteriaceae
Also listed under: 2 other names
Description: partial 16S ribosomal RNA
Rfam family: Bacterial small subunit ribosomal RNA
Source: RNAcentral
UAGACCGCCUGGGGAGUACGGCCGCAAGGUUAAAACUCAAAUGAAUUGACGGGGGCCCGCACAAGCGGUGGAGCAUGUGGUUUAAUUCGAUGCAACGCGAAGAACCUUACCUGGUCUUGACAUCCACAGAAGAAUCCAGAGAUGGAUUUGUGCCUUCGGGAACUGUGAGACAGGUGCUGCAUGGCUGUCGUCAGCUCGUGUUGUGAAAUGUUGGGUUAAGUCCCGCAACGAGCGCAACCCUUAUCCUUUGUUGCCAGCG